GAUGAAGAACGUAGCGAAAUGCGAUAAGUAAUGUGAAUUACAGAAUUCAGUGAAUCAUCGAAUCUUUGAACGCACAUUGCGCCCGGUAGUAUUCUGCCGGGCAUGCCUGUUCGAGCGUCAUUUCAACCAUCAAGCCCCAGCGCUUGUGUUGGGGGCCUGCGGCUGCCGCAGCCCCCUAAAAGCAGUGGUGGGCUCGCUAUCACACCGAGUGCAGUAGUUCAUCUUCUCUCCGGUCUUGUGAGGCGGGUUCCGGCCGUGAAACACCCCACUACAUUCAAGGUUGACCUCGGAUCAGGUAGGAAUACCCGCUGAACUUAAGCAUAUCAAUAAGCGGAGGA
Molecule: unclassified non-coding RNA, 338 nt
Filed under: soil metagenome
Description: partial contains 5.8S ribosomal RNA, internal transcribed spacer 2, and large subunit ribosomal RNA
Rfam family: 5.8S ribosomal RNA (bases 1-120)
Source: RNAcentral